GUGUCAGCCGCCGCGGUAAUACGUGGGAUGCGAGCGUUAUCCGGAUUUACUGGGCGUAAAGAGUUCGUAGGCGUCUGGUUAAGUUUCCUUUGAAAGACCGAGGCUCAACUUCGGGAACGGAGGAAAUACUAAUCAGAUCGAGUCAGCUAGGGGGCACUGGAACUCAUAGUGUAGCAGUGAAAUGCGUUGAUAUUAUGAGGAACACCAAGGGCGAAGGCAGGUGCCUGGGGCUGUACUGACGCUGAGGAACGAAAGCUAGGGGAGCGAAAGGGAUUAGAAACCCUUGUAGUCC
RNAcentral lists this ribosomal RNA (292 nucleotides) under uncultured bacterium. RNAcentral describes it as "partial 16S ribosomal RNA". It matches the Rfam family "Bacterial small subunit ribosomal RNA", at positions 505 to 796 of the family's 1533-position model. The record is from RNAcentral.